UAGGGAAUCUUCGGCAAUGGACGAAAGUCUGACCGAGCAACGCCGCGUGAGUGAAGAAGGUUUUCGGAUCGUAAAAACUCUGUUGGUAGAGAAGAACGUUGGUGAGAGUGGAAAGCUCAUCAAGUGACGGUAACUACCCAGAAAGGGACGGCUAACUACGUGCC
Molecule: ribosomal RNA, 164 nt
Filed under: uncultured bacterium
Lineage: Bacteria
Description: partial 16S ribosomal RNA
Rfam family: Bacterial small subunit ribosomal RNA
Source: RNAcentral